GAGUUUGAUCGUGGCUCAGGAUGAACGCUGGCGGCGUGCCUAACACAUGCAAGUCGAACGGGAACCCUUGGAUUCGUCUGGGGGGAGAGUGGCAAACGGGUGAGUAACACGUUGGUGACCUGCCCCAAAGAGGGGAAUAACCACUGGAAACGGUGGCUAAUACCCCAUGUGGUCUGUCGGUCGGACGGCAGAUUAAAGCGCCCCAUUAGGGCUGCGCUUUGGGAGGGCCUGCGGCCCAUCAGGUAGUUGGUAGGGUAAUGGCCUACCAAGCCGAUGACGGGUAGGGGCGUGAGAGCGUGAUCCCCCACACUGGCACUGAGACACGGGCCAGACUCCUACGGGAGGCAGCAGUGAGGAUAUGCCCCAUGACGCAAGUCUGAGGCAGCAACGCCGCGUGGGUGGUGAAGGCCUUGGGUUGUAAAACCCUUUUCUGGGGGUACGAGAAAGGACGGUACCUC
RNAcentral lists this ribosomal RNA (458 nucleotides) under uncultured microorganism. RNAcentral describes it as "bacterial SSU rRNA". It matches the Rfam family "Bacterial small subunit ribosomal RNA", at positions 9 to 481 of the family's 1533-position model. The record is from RNAcentral.